RNAcentral lists this long non-coding RNA (621 nucleotides) under Setaria viridis. Its description in RNAcentral is "long non-coding RNA (SVIR_LNC008345)". The record is from RNAcentral. Lineage: Eukaryota; Viridiplantae; Streptophyta; Magnoliopsida; Poales; Poaceae.
AUCCUAGCUGGAAAGAAGACGGAUUUCGGACCAAGACGCUUGAUUCCCCAAAGCCAUGGCGCAGCGUACAAAAGAAGCUGAAGGGAGAGGAGCUAGUCUGCUGGAGGAAGAAGACGAAGGAGCCAGGAGAACUGCACCGAUCUGAUGAUGGCCUCUUGACUCACAUGAGAGGAGUACAAGAGCAGAUCAACCACGCCAUCAUCAUGCACCAUGCAUCUCUCUCCCUCUCGCUUUCUGUCACCUCCCCAUCUCUCUCCUCCUCCGCGGCCCCCUCGCACGCCGCCGCCCUUCUCUCUCCGCCCCCGCUUUUCUCAUCGACUAUAGCUUCUCCGGCCUCUUCCUCUUGGAGGUAGGUGGAGGCGACUCUUGAGGUGCGGUGUGGCAAUCAUGGCGGCCGAGGGCCCGAGGAGCUUGCUGGGGCAGCAUGAUUGCAUCUUGGAAGUAGUAGGGGGAGGAGAGGCUGCAGAGGCUCCUCGCAUCACAUGGUGUGGCAUGAUGGAGGCACACAUCUCGCUAGCAGCCGCAAACAUCUCCCUUGGUUUAUUGGGCUCGCUCGAUCGGCCUCGCUGAUCUUCUUUCUAGGGGGUCUCCUCCCCCUUCCUCCUAUAAUGUGAUGGUGAC